RNAcentral lists this non-coding RNA (45 nucleotides) under Schistosoma bovis. Lineage: Eukaryota; Metazoa; Platyhelminthes; Trematoda; Strigeidida; Schistosomatidae. RNAcentral also lists the same sequence under 1 other name. The record is from RNAcentral.
AUCCAGCUGACGAGUCUAAAAUAGGAUGAAACGAGUGUUCUGGUU